UUCUUUACGAAUCAUCGAUCAACAGUUUCUCGUGAUUAACAUACGAAAGUUGAAAUCCGAGAUCCAGAUUAGAUAAUCUAAUUGAUUUUACCUAAGUUUGAGCUCGAGAACAAUUAAUAUUAAUAAACCCCUAAAAACUCAAAUUAAGUUACAUAUUUAUCAUACCUCAGAAUAUACAUGAAUCUAGCUAUUUUCCCAACUGUUAACAACCUCAGAUCAAACCAAUCAAACAACUGUCUUGCUCACCAUUUCAUUUACAGCUUAAAACCUGUUAAUCUAGCU
Molecule: long non-coding RNA, 282 nt
Filed under: Brassica napus (rape)
Lineage: Eukaryota; Viridiplantae; Streptophyta; Magnoliopsida; Brassicales; Brassicaceae
Description: long non-coding RNA (BNAP_LNC021050)
Source: RNAcentral